RNAcentral lists this long non-coding RNA (226 nucleotides) under Linum usitatissimum (flax). RNAcentral describes it as "long non-coding RNA (LUSI_LNC005385)". Lineage: Eukaryota; Viridiplantae; Streptophyta; Magnoliopsida; Malpighiales; Linaceae. The record is from RNAcentral.
UUUAGUGUUUAGGAUUUAGGGUUUAGAAUUUACUUUUUAUGGAUUAGGGUUUAGUGUUCAAGGAUUAGUAUUUAGAGUUUAGGGUUGAGAGUUUAGGGUCUAGAAUUUAGGGAUUGGAGUUUAGGAUUUCGUGUUUAGGGUGUAGAGUUUGGUGUGUAGGGUUUAGAGUAUAGUGUUUAGUGUUGAGGACUUAGGGUUUAGGGUUUAGGGUUUAGGGUUUAGGGUU